RNAcentral lists this ribosomal RNA (253 nucleotides) under uncultured bacterium. Its description in RNAcentral is "partial 16S ribosomal RNA". It matches the Rfam family "Bacterial small subunit ribosomal RNA", at positions 524 to 776 of the family's 1533-position model. The record is from RNAcentral.
UACGGAGGGGGCUAGCGUUGUUCGGAAUUACUGGGCGUAAAGCGCACGUAGGCGGACUUGAAAGUCAGAGGUGAAAUCCCAGGGCUCAACCUUGGAACUGCCUUUGAAACUUCUGGUCUUGAGGUCGAGAGAGGUGAGUGGAAUUCCGAGUGUAGAGGUGAAAUUCGUAGAUAUUCGGAGGAACACCAGUGGCGAAGGCGGCUCACUGGCUCGAUACUGACGCUGAGGUGCGAAAGCGUGGGGAGCAAACAGG